Molecule: long non-coding RNA, 344 nt
Filed under: Drosophila guanche
Lineage: Eukaryota; Metazoa; Arthropoda; Insecta; Diptera; Drosophilidae
Source: RNAcentral
UUUAAUUUGUUUGCCGGACUGUUUUUUUUAAUUAAAACUAGCUGCGAUGGACUAUUUACCUAUACUAGAACCAACUGCGACAUUAAUCGCAUUCGAUGUCUUUUUCGACGCCCUCGGUGAGUUACUUUCUUAGCAAUACAUACACAUAUGUACAUAGUAUGUUUGUCCCUAUAUUAACAGGAUUUUAUUGCAGAAGAAUAAUACUUGCGAUCAACAACCAGGAAUAUCAGGCCGAACUGCUGGAGAUAGCUCGAGAAAUGUCGAUAGUUGAGAAGGAGCGAAACAAGGCCCAGAGAGCGAUACUCGAGCCGAUGAAGAAAAGAUAGCUUCCACUCAAAGGUUAU